CUUGUAAUUUCGUAAAUAUCAGGAUAUGACUGGGAACAACCUCAUUGAACGCACCUCCAACUUUUAUUACUAGUGGGAAACUAGACUAUCAUCCCUGUGCUCCGAGUUUCCCACUUGCACCUCUCUGACCUAGUUUGUCAACAAAAAAGACAGCAAGCAUGGCGGCAUCUUCAGUAAUUGUUAUUUAUGGUAGGUUUGGUGUGGUCGAUGUGGUUGAAGAAGCUGAGCUGGAGUAGGAGCGUAGGAGGACCCUGUGUUUGGUGGCGACCUCGGUGCGACGUCGAUGGUGCUCCCCCAGGAACUCCUUCAGCUUGGUGGUGGUGAAGGCAACUGGUUGCUGAAUUUAGCAGACAGUACUAGAGGAAGUGCGGGAAUACUGCAGGCUGCCUGAUGACCCCUCAUCUUUGGCUGAGGGGAGGACAGUCUGAGAGGGGGUCUUAUCCUUCCUGCUCCUGCCCAGACCCCACCUGUCCCACCGCGACCGUCUGUCAGUCUCUGGAGCUGUGGAGGACACGACAUAAUGGCAAACAGCUGAGACAGACGAACCUGAGGAGGACCUGAGACCUAGGACCAUGCCUCAGAACUACCUGGCCUGAUGACUCCUGGCUGUCCCCAUCCCCAGUCCACCUGGUUGUGCUGCUGAUCUAGGACCUGCUAUUUUGACCCUCUCUCUCUCCCACCACCUGCUGUCUCGACUUCUGAAUGAUUGGCUAUGAAAAGCCAACUGACAUUUACUCCUGAGUGGGAAUCUGAUGUACCUUGAUGUCAAGAUGAGCAAUGUCUUUCUGGUGAAGGUAGCUGACCCCUUCAAGCACCUGCUGAAUACUGG
This is a long non-coding RNA of Oncorhynchus masou masou (cherry salmon), 829 nucleotides long. RefSeq lists it as uncharacterized. The record is from RefSeq and is a predicted model, not a curated record. NCBI's taxonomy places the organism in Eukaryota, Metazoa, Chordata, Actinopteri, Salmoniformes, Salmonidae. The transcript is spliced from 5 exons.